ACAAAAGUUGGGCUGAACCACAGUGACUUUGUGCAUGCUUUUACCAAAAUAUCACCCACUUGGGACUAAGACCCUGUGGCAGUAUAAACUAAUAGCUUAUAUUCAGUAGCUGCAUUAGUAAAAAUGAGAGAAGAUAUUAAAUGGAAACUAUUUGGAGUACACCAGGAAGUCCCAGGAAAGCAGGGGAACAGACAGGUUUGGUGCAGCUUUUCCAGGGCUCCUGUAACUGAGGAGCUUCCAGGUCCCCAUUGAUCAUUCCUCUUCACACCAUGUGUAUAAAAUAGCAAUUGGAGGCUUCAGGAGUGUCAUGUCUGCAUGAUGAGUCCAUCAAUUUUCCUUGGCUGCAGGUUUCCCUUCGGUGGCUGGGAAGUAAAUGAUGGGAAGCUGAAGGAGAAAGCCGUAAAUUACUGGGCUCUGCCAACUCCAAUAUCCACAGCCUGACGGCUCCUGGGUUUGACAACAAUCUGCUUGUCAGUCUCUCUUGCAAAAUAUUAACAUGCUCAAUUAUCAGAGGUGUUAGUCAACUGUUAAAUCUGAGGAUUGAGCAGUCCAAAGGCCAGGGAUGGGCAGGCCCAUCUUCCCUUCCUGCUGCAAAGCCUCUGCUAAGGCUCAGGAGCUGCUCCUUCUCUGCCUGUGAUCUGUGACCUGGUGCUGGGAUUUGGACCCGUUGCCUCCAUCAGACAGGGAACAGUCUCUAAAGUUGGAGAGAAAUUCCCAGUGCAGUAAAGGGUACUAUGGCAGUACAUUCUGGCAACAGGCUGGAAAGAACCAAUGCAUUAACUCAGAGAAGGGGCAGCAGAAGGAAAGCCUGGAGCCACUGCCCACCCUGCAACUGGAACAGGGUUUGAGCAGCAGAGAUGCAAGAGAAAGAAAAAACACCUCUCUCAGAUGGCUGCAAAGAGAAGGUCUCUGCAGUCACUUCUCAAACACUGAAGAUAUUCUCAUUUAAAAAUAUCCACUUAAAGGUAGGUUUAAUCUCCAAAUGGCAUUUUCCACUUUAAAAAAAAAUAAAAAAUCACAUACACACAUGCACAAAAACCUUCAAAAAAACCCCUCUCCAGUUAUUUCCCCUUCAUUUUUUUUCCCCCAAUUAAAUUAAUUUAAAAUGAGUGGAAAAUGCUUUAUGCCCUAAGAGCCUGAAACCUCUGGUGUCAGCUGAAACUGGCACUUCUGCUCUCAGCUCCAGCCCUCCCUGCAGGCACCUCUGCUUUGAAGCCUUUGAAGUGUUUGUGGCACAGGAAGAGUCUCUCCUCAGAGAACACCCCUCAUUUUAUAUAUAUUUAAUGUGCAAAGUGUGUGUGAGUGUGUUUGUGUUCCUACAACGUGGAUUUUCACCGGGCAGAUGGGAAAAUGGAGAAGAAAUCUUGACUUGCAGGACAAAAUUCAAGUAAAAAUCACUGUCUUGUUGAGAGAUCUUUGAGAUCUUCCAGCCUUCAUCCACGAGGUUAUUUCAGCAUCCUCCUGAGGAUGCAGUUGAAAUGAUCUGCUGGCCUUCAGAGGGACCAAAACAGUUCUUUUAGUGCCUGUAGGACCUGCUCUCACCUCUCCCAGCAUCAGGAUUCCCUUUUAAAGGAAUUUCCUUAGAAAAAUGCCAUCAAAGAACACCAUGGAAAUGCCACCAUGGAAACACCAGGAGCAAAGUAGCUGAGGGUGCCUGUUCUGGCUGGGAGCUGCAGGGCAGCUGGAAUAACCCCCCUGAGCUUAUUUUGGGGAUGUGAUGCAAGAGAAAUGCAAUAAAUUUGAUUAAUGGUUGGAUUUGGGGGUUAAUUAUUUGACUCACAACGUAAGGACCUCGCUUGUGGAAACGAGGUGUGAUGUGGGAGACAGCACCUGAGGUGGGCUGAUGCAAAGUCUCCACCUCAGCACCCAGCAGGACCAAUUUUGAGGGUGAUUUGUCUAAAUUGUUACGUUUCCCUUGUUUUUUUUGGCAGGGAAAUAUUUAGAAUCAAUGCUCCUAUUUCAGAACGUAUUUAUUCACAGUGCCCUGCAAUUAUUCCAGCCUGUAACCAGUGAAGUUUAUUCAGUAAUAAAAUCUUAAAUCAGCCAGUUCAGCCAAUGUUCUUUGAGCCCUGAAUGCUUUGGUGAACAUCUUCUCCCCCUGACUGGUUUUUAAAUACAAGAAAACCCCAAAAGUUUCUUACAACAUAUCAAAUGGAAAAACAAUCAUGUUCUGUGACUCUACAAAACUGUUUCUGAGGACAUGUGAUAUGUUUUGCCAGGGAAAUGUCCCUGCCCCUGUUCCAGGGGUGGCUCUUUCUGCUCAGCAUUUGUUGCUUCUUUUAAUGUAAACACAGGGAAACACUGGAUAAUGGAUAGGGAAAAUAAAUAGACAGGGAAUAUAGAAUUAACCCUGUGUUUUUCACAUGCUUGCCCUUCAUGCCACUUUAUUUUUAAUUUUUCUGGCUUUUCUGAAGCCAUCCUUGAGUCAGCCAAGGCCAGGUGAGACUUUUUCCUUCUCUGCUGAUCCUGAACCUUAUAAACCUUCAAUUUACUCUUCCAUAACCAAAUGUUUAGUACCUACCAGGUGGGUUAAUUAAAGUGCAUUUUUUACAGCUCUGAUAAUAAUCACUACUACAGCACCACAGCAGUGGCUGUAGACUGGUUUUUCAUUUGAUAUUUCUUUUUAACAGUGGUCACACUGUUUAACCCACUGGUUCUUUCAGGUCGAGCCAAAGGUUCUGAUCCUACCUGGAAAUAUCAAGUUCCAAGAGAUGAGAGCAUCACGUGCACUCAUGGCAAUUCCCAAACUAAAUGCAGCAGAGAAUUUUGGAUAUAACUAAAGAAUAGGUGAUUUUUAAUUUAUUUUAAGAGGAGGAAAAAAUCUUAGUAGGAAAAAACAAAAUAUGAGAAGAAAGAGAGAAGAUCAGUGAAUGUCCAGCAUUGAUUUAGGAACAGGCUCUGCCAAGCAGGGGAAAAAGGAGCCCUCCCCAGCCCAUUUAGUGUAUGGUUAUUAGUAUUGAUAUAGUAUUUCCCUUGGCUCCCAAGAGAAAAAUUGGGGAAUGAAUUAGGAAAAAAAAUAAUACAUUUCUGUGAAUAAUUUUUUUCCAAUUCAGACGGGUUUUUUUUUUAGGAAACGGGAGGGGAAAAAAAGAAAAUCUGCUUCUCAAAUGUCAAGGACUUGAAAGACUAAAAAUACAUCACCGGAAUAAAUAAAUUAACCCAGCCGACAGGACUGAUGCUCUGCAGGCAUCAGGGAUUAAAUAAAUUCACUAAAUUCAAAGUGGUAUUGCAGAUAAGAGCUCUUUGUGCUGCAGCAUGUACAGCUUAUUGAUUGUAGGAUUGAGGUGCUGUGCACUCUUGUAAAAGGGGCUGGGGCUGAUAGGGCUUAAUCCUGCCCUAAUGCAGAGCCCGGUGCCCAGAGCGUGGGGCCAGCCCGGAUUUCCUCAUUUAGUUUAAUUUGGUUUGGGUCUUGGUUUGCUGCACCCCACCUGUGCCUCUCCCUGGGCAGUGCCUGAGGGACAAGAGGCACUGCAGAAGGUGCUGACUUAGCAGGAUGAGGGCUGGGGCAGGAAUGCUCCUGGGAAUCUGCCUGGGUUGUCUUCCAUAGGGAUGGGAAGCCUCGGCACCUCUCGUGUUGCAUAGGGGGGCUGCAACCCUGAGCUCAGGGGAUGGAGGGACCUUCUGGGGGGAGAUCCUUGUUCUGCAGCCCCACCUUUUGUUCCAUGAGCCCACCAAGGCAGCAGGAGUGUGUGUGACCAAGGUGAAAACACUGUUCCUGUCCAGAGAAGACGGAUUUUUCCAGACAAAAAGAAAAAAUGGAAAGGUUUAAGUGCUGCUGGGUCAAAGCAAUCCCAGAGGGGAUUAUACACGUGGCUGGAACGAAGGUUGGUAAGUUCCUGUCAACCUGUUUUCCAUGGCAGAGGGGGUUUUCACCCUCCUGGUCAGAUCUGAACUGCCAAAUUCACUCCACACUAAUACAGAAGGACAUUUCUUUCCUCCUCUGGAAGCUCUCCUGCCUCUGGUUCUUAGCUCAGGUCUGUGCAGGUUUCUCCGAAGAGCCAGCAGAGCUCUCCAAACACAGAAUUUUAUAAUUUACCAAGAAAGGGAAAACCCUCCAGGCCUCUGGGAGUGUGAGAAAGCAGCUGGGCAUGGCAGUGAUGCUCUCAUGGAGUGCUGGUCUCCUGGUCCAGGUCUCCUUGAGUCAGGUGGUCCCAGGUAUCAGCACCUUCCCAGCCUCAGGGAGUCCUUGGGUGUCAGUUUUCUGGUAAAAGAGCUGAUCUGACCAACAGGAAAAACUUUUAUUAUCUAUUGUUGUCUACCAGGUAUGAGGGAAAAUCUCCCUGCUAUGAAAGAAGGAGCUACAGGGACUUGACUUUUGGGUAACCUCCUCAAAUCCCUGUAUCUCUCCCUCAGGUUUGGCAAAUCUCCCAAUUUCCAACUUCACCAAAAUCCAGCCUCUUAAUCUCAAGACACAUCAUCUCUCCUACGUAACUCUGCCUCCUGAGCACGAUCACAGGGCCUGCAUUUCAACACCCAAGAUUCAUUAAUAUUUCCUGCAGAGUGUUCAGUAAGUAGCAAAUAAAGCAGGAAGUGUCCCAGAUGUUGGAAAGAAAAAAUGGAAUUAUUCAUUGCUUACUAACAUCAAAUGCUAAUCUGAGAAAAGCAUCCUUGAAGAAAUCCUUGACUAAAAUUCAUCAGAGUGAUGUGAAAUCACUGUUUUAAUUAUGCAUCUUUGAAUGUAUUUAUUAGUCCCGGUUCUGAUCUGACUUACAGAUGUUUAACAGUGAUAAGGGUCUGCUGCAUCUUCGGAAUUACUCGUGAUUUAUAAUGACAAAACUUGGAUCAGAAUUAGGUCCUUGUCACUACUCUAUAAUAUCCUUUCAUCAAACUUCCUCACAUGCAACAGAUGAAAGCAAAAACGUGGUUUCUGCAGUUUCAGACCUCACCACUGAGCUCGUUAGGUUGGGGUUUGAAAUUUCUCCUCCAGAAAUGAUGAUUCUCGCACAAAAUGUUGUCUGUGUGAGCUCUGCUCAUCACAGGAAACUCGAGAGCAAAGGGAACUCUUUAUUCCACCAAAAAGGUGUGUUUGGGUAACCUUGUGCUGGCUAUAAACGUGGAGUUUUAAUAGAGGAGUCAGUUCUUCAGUUAUGCAGCUCUAUAAUAUCAUUCUCUCUUAUUGUUGUGACUAUUAGAUGUAUAUCUAUAUCUAAUACUGGGAGAUUUGUCAAACCUAUGGGAAAUAGGGGAAUUUGAUGGGGUUACCCAAAAGCUCAAUACCAGAUGACUAUUGGAGAGACUGUGCUCAAUACCAAAGAUAUUUAAAACAGAACACUCUCUAUUCCAGACUGAUUCAAAGCCACCUGUGUUUCCAAAGAAUGAUGGAGUUUUAAACUACUGCUUGUUCUAGAGCUGAUCCAGAAAGAGCAGGUCUCCAGGGAUGGUUUACUCCCUAAGGCAUGACUGCAUGAUUCAGCUCAAUGUAUUCCAUAAAUGCCUUGAUGACAUUAAACUAAAUUUUUUAAAGAACAGAUGGAGAAAGUUAAUAAAUAUUUCAUUCUAUAAUAUAAAACUCACUUCUAUAUUCACAACUUCAGGGAUGCUCAGCUUCACAGAUACCAAUAAGUCUGAUGGAUUUCUUGCUGCAUUCUCAUUCUUCUGCCCUGGUGUCUCUUAUGGGAUCAUCAUUUCUGCAUGCUUGGUUUGUUUUAUGGGAUCAAGGAAAGGCAAGUGACUGUAAAUCUUGACCUCCUCUGCUCCUGGAUUAUAUACUUUUAUUCUUUGUGACCAUAAGUGUUCGUCUCUACACUGAAUAGAUAAUUAAAUGACAAAAAUUAUUCAAAGGGAAUUUAUAGUGAGAAAUUAUCCCUUGAAGAACUGAUAGGGCACAGGCAUAACCCAAGGAGAUACCAGGAAAAAAUCCAGUUUAGAAUGGCCAAAUAAAACACUGAAAUAUCUGUGUAUUUAUAAACGUCAUGAAAACAUCCAUUUCCUGGGAAAAAACACAGUCUUUACCUGCAUAUCCCAAUUCUGUUCAAAUAAAAUUUCUAUGAAGGGAAAACAGUGUGAAUAGUGCUUAAGAACUGGAGACCAAGCCAGUUAUUCAUAUGAAAGAACUAAUCUUUCCAUGUGGGAAUUACAAUUUCUCACUCUAUGUAUGCCAUGAAUCUUGUAAAAGAAUAAUUAGAACUUGCUCCAAAAGGAAAGAAACGCCAGACUUGAAUAAUAUUUUAGGAAGAGCAUUAACAAACAGUUUUAUACUGCCAACAAUCUUCUAGAAGAGAUUUACAUUCCAUUAUUAAUUAACUGUACUGAGUCAAUAGCAUGACAUAAAGCUCAGGAGAUGUAUGUUUAGCACAAACUCUGACAUUCAGGAGAACUGCACACAUUUGGAGGAAGUUUGAUUUAAAAUUUAUGCAAACGAGCUCAGCAAGCAAAGACCCCACAAACUACUUCAAAGCAUCCCCAUCCAGCCCGAAAAACAUGACAAGAUCAAAUCUUUGUCAUCUCUCAAGUGUCUUUCCAAAGCUCCACAUAUUCAGUGUAAAUUAUAUCCCCCCCCCCCCCAGCACCUGGAUGGUUUGGUGUAGAAUUAGGGAUGCUUUGUUCUUCUGACACUGCCACGUCAGACAAGGGGCACCUGAGUGAUUGGAAGAAUUUAAAUAUACCUAAAUGACAUGGAAAUUGUCCUUGUGGAGCUGACUCCUGUGCAGAGUCCGUAGAAUACGAGGUCCCACGCUGAGCUGGCUCACAGGGUCGACCACAACCAAGCAAAGAAAAAAUACCAGGGCUAUUGUCCCCUUCCCCUUUCCCCCCAGCUCUGACCAUCCUUCUGGCUUAGGGUUGAGAAACCUCACAAAACUGUGUCCAGGGAAAAUAUUAAAUUCAGAGUAACGACAAAAAUUAUUCCAAGGGAAUUUAUAGUGACAAAUUAUCACUUGAAGAAGUGAUGGGGCACAGAUAAUCCAAGGAGAUACCAUGAUAUUAUGCUAUUGUUUCCACCUCCUUUUCCCUUAAUUCUGGCCAUCUUUCUGGUUUUGGGUCGAGAAACCUCACAAAACUGUCUGCAGGGAAAAUAUUCAAUUCAGAGUAACGACAAACAUUAUUCAAAGGGAUUUUAUAGUGAGAAGUUAUAAGAACUGAUGGGGUACAGGCAUAACCCAUGGUUUCAUUGUCCCCCCUCCUUUUCCCUCAACCCUGACCAUCUUUCAGUUUUUGGGAUGUGGAUCCCCACAACACUGUGUCCAGGAAAAAUAUUAAAUGUGGAGUAACACAUUGCUGUAAAGAAAUACUAAUUAAUUCAGGUUAAGUUUCAUGCCACAGAAAUUGGUUUAUUCCCUUAUUGAAAGUUAGGUUAGGUCCAGGUAAAUUUGUAUCUUCAGAAUCAGGGCUUUUAAGGAAAAAAAAAAGUUUCUCGUGUUUCCCGACAUCCCAUUAAAAAGGUUGUCCUUUGACGUCAAUUAGAGCCAGCUAAGGAAAAAAAAUCAUCCUUAAUUGCUUUUCAGAAACAGACAUUAGAAUGUCCCCCUUGCAGCCAGAUUCGAUUACCUUUUACAAGAAACAAGGAUGCUGGGAAUGCCAUAAAACUCCGGCUCUGCUGAAUAUGGAUGUGGGGCUCUGCUAACAAUCCAUGGAGCUGCUUUUCCUUGGGCUGCAGGGAAAGCUCACACAAAGCCCACAGACACCCCUAAACUUCUCCAAAAUGUAAAAAUGCUGAAGCUGGGUUAGCAUCUGGGGCUGGUUUUGGGACAGCUCUGCAACGGAGCGAGGCUGGGAGAGCUGGGGGUGUUCACCUGGAGAGAAGAAUCCAGAGACCUGAGAACUCCUUCCAGGGCCUAAAGGGGCUCCAGGAGAGCUGGAGAGGGAGCUUGGACAAGAGUCUGGAGGGACAGGACAAAGGGGACUGGCUUCCCACUGCCAGAGGGCAGGGUUAGAUGGGAUAUUGGGAAGGAAUUCCUGGCUGUGAGGGUGGGGAGGCCCUGGCACAGGUUGCCCAGAGAAGCUGUGGCUGCCCCUGGAUCCCUGGAAGUGUCCAAGGCCAGGUUGGACAGGGCUUGGAGCAACCUGGGCUGGUGGAAAGUGUCCCUGCCCAUGGCAGGGGGUGGAAUGAGAUGGAUUUAAGGUCCCUCCCCAGUCAGACUAUUCUAUGGAUGCUCAGUGCUCCAGCCCUGCCUCCACGUAAGAGCGAGUGUAAUUUACCCCGACGAUUAUAGCUACAAAAACGAUCUAGUCCUCAAAAACUUGUGCCUGUUUCUUUACAUCACCAAAGCCUUCUCCAAACUUGUCUUACUCCAGGGACUCCAUAAUGUCUCUGCCCACCAGGAAGAAGAGGAGUCCAGCCAGCAGGACCAGGGGCACCCCGGCUGCGGCGAACAUGAACGACCACCCGUAGUAGACGUGCACGGGGACGUCGUCCAGGCACCUCUCGCUUCUCUCCAGCAGGAUGUACUUCUGGAAGUCAGCAGCAAACUCCUUCCACAUCACGAAGAGAAACACCAGCAGGAGAAAUAAACCUCCUGGAAAGGGAGACAGAGAUGAGUCAUUGUCUGCACAUGGAACACGGGAGUAAAAGUUCCUGUGGAAGCCAAGCCCUCUUGUCCUGGAGGAGAUCACACUGUGACAAGUUCCUGCCCACUGACACCUCAUGCUUUAACAAUCAGG
Long non-coding RNA from Pseudopipra pipra, 8598 nucleotides. RefSeq lists it as uncharacterized. The transcript is spliced from 5 exons. NCBI's taxonomy places the organism in Eukaryota, Metazoa, Chordata, Aves, Passeriformes, Pipridae. The record is from RefSeq and is a predicted model, not a curated record.